This 69-nucleotide transfer RNA is filed under the name Hymenochirus boettgeri (Congo dwarf clawed frog). RNAcentral describes it as "tRNA-Asp". It matches the Rfam family "tRNA". Rfam says of the family: Transfer RNA (tRNA) molecules are approximately 80 nucleotides in length. Their secondary structure includes four short double-helical elements and three loops (D, anti-codon, and T loops). Lineage: Eukaryota; Metazoa; Chordata; Amphibia; Anura; Pipidae. The record is from RNAcentral.
GAGACGUUAGUUAAACAAUAACACCACCUUGUCAAGGUGAAGUCAUCGGUUAAACCCCAGUACGCCUCA